UAUCUGAUAUAGAACUGAUUAAUAAAACAUCAGUACUUUAUCGGAUAUAAAGGCCCAUCAUGUGAUCCAAUAGUUCGAUGCUCAUUGGACUAAUAGCUCAUGCCAUUAUGAAUGAGUUCUAGAAGUACCACAUGCAAUACCGUGAAAUCCCAAGGAGUAUGAAAUUAUUUCAAACUCCUUGCAUUUUGAAAAUAAGCUUCAAGUACUCCAAGCUGUAACCUUCAGUCCCUCGCAAUCAAUGGGACCCAUAGUAAUGAUAACCGGGUCCUAAACAAUCUACUAAGUCAUCUAUGUCAUGAGUUAAUUAUAUUCCUGGUCGGCGCUGUGGUGUUCAAGGUAGACAUAGUAAGUACAUAUAAUGAUAUUUUUCUACAUUAUUAUCAAAAAUAAAUCCUGACUUUAAUCCCGAUGCUUAGUCCUCCAUGGCUGAAACGGAAAACUUGACUCAAAAAAAAGUAAAUAGAAAUAUUAAAAAAGUGAAAGUAAAAAAAUGAACAAAUACUGAGAAACAAUCUGAAGAUAUUUUUAUAUGAUAUAUUGUAUGCAGAUCAAACUGCGACUUUGAUUGUAAGCCUUCCCUGGGGAGGGUCGGGAGAGGGAGAAAGGAGCAGGUGAUCAUGACUGACUCUUAGGAUGAGUAUUUAACAAAGAUACCGAUUUCAAAUCCUGCAAUGAACGUUGAGGCAAUAUUAGUCGAAGCAAAAGCUUUGCCAUUGUGGCCAAACACGUCAUUGUGAAACAUGUCAGUCAAAAAUCGCUAUGAUCUUUAAAGUACAGCUGAAUCAAUAAACGUUCUUCCCCGUAAAACUAACAAAGUGGUUUAACUAUACAAAUAGAUCAAAAGCACAUUGACCGAUGCGCAAGCGACAAUUUCUCUGUACAAAAAGACGAUUGAUGUCUGGUGAAUGCAAUACUUCUUGGUGUACGGGGAUAUUUUUGAUUCGUUCUUUAUGAUAAAUUCAAACGAGCUUACACCAUGAUUAAGAGAUGAGCACUAUAAGAUGAGUUCAGCUGUUUGAAAUCGUCAUCGUACUUGAAUUGUACUGUACUACGCAUGCUCAGUAACGCCGCUUGGUUUACACCACACUUCUAUGGCAUACAACUGGCUACAUCAAACAAUGAAGCAGACCAGGCACUUCCCGGCAGCCAGCUACCAGCGACAGAGAAAAACAACGAUGGAGUCUAUUUAUCGAGUAAUGUUUCUCAUCUCGUUCGGGUUUGGUCUGAUAAGCUGUUCAGAUAUUACAAUCUACAUUGGUGGUUUU
Exaiptasia diaphana is the source of this 1265-nucleotide long non-coding RNA. RefSeq lists it as uncharacterized. The transcript has 3 exons. NCBI's taxonomy places the organism in Eukaryota, Metazoa, Cnidaria, Anthozoa, Actiniaria, Aiptasiidae. The record is from RefSeq and is a predicted model, not a curated record.